RNAcentral lists this RNase P RNA (317 nucleotides) under bovine gut metagenome. RNAcentral describes it as "Bacterial RNase P class A". It matches the Rfam family "Bacterial RNase P class A". Rfam says of the family: Ribonuclease P (RNase P) is a ubiquitous endoribonuclease, found in archaea, bacteria and eukarya as well as chloroplasts and mitochondria. The record is from RNAcentral.
GGCCGUCGGGCGGCCGCGCGCGCAAGCGUGAGGAAAGUCCGAGCUCCGCAGGGCAGGGCGCCGGGUAACACCCGGCGGGGGCGACCCCAGGGAAAGUGCAACAGAGAGAUACCGCAUGGCAACAUGUAAGGGUGGAAAGGCGAGGUAAGAGCUCACCCGCGGCAUGGCGACAUGUCCGCGCUGUAAACCCCGUCCGGAGCAAGAAACGAAAGAGCGUUUGAGACGGCCCGUCAAGCUCUCAGGAUUUCGCUGGAGCCCAUUCGGUAACGAUGGGACUAGAUAGAUGACCGCCGAAUACAGAACUCGGCUUACAGACA